AUGGAAGACUUUGUGGCUUGGAGAUUCACAAAGAACUACAUUUUUUCGGUAAGAUCAACUUAUUAUGUUGAAUGGGAACACCAGUUUUCUCGCUGGUACGAAAGAACAGAGGGGCAACCGUCUCAACGUCACCCGGUUUGGGCAAAUCUUUGGAGUUCCCAAGUACCAGCAAAGAUCAAGAUCCACGCAUGGAAGGUCCUGCAUGGAUUCAUUCCUUGUUAUGGGGUCCUGGUGAAUCGGCACAUUGGCACGACGGAUAGUUGUCCUAUGUGUGCGGGUGGAUGUGAAGACAUUAUGCAUUCACUUUUUACUUGCACUAGGGCAGCUGAGAUUUGGAGAUGCCUGAAGCUGGAUAAGUUUAUAGAAGAAGCUUGCUCGACCGAUAGGGCGGGAGCGGCGGCGUUGGACUAUAUUUUAUGUGCUCCGGCUCGGCGGAGUUCGAUAUCACAUGUUACUGCCCAAGCUCUCAUCCUUGUGGGAAUUUGGUAUAUAUGGUGGGAACGACGACAACACGUCCAUGGCCAAGAUGUGCAAACCCCGACUCGGUCAGCGUUGUCUAUCGCGGCGCUAACCGCUAAUUAUCUGAAGGCCAUGAAGAAAAGUGCAGAACCAAGGAGAGAUGGUUGGACGAAGCCGCUUGAAGGUUUUGUGAAGGUAAAUGUAGAUGCAUCUUUCAAAGCACACUCUCUUCAAGGAGCUAUAGGUGCUGUGGUACGAGAUUAUAAAGGUGCGUUCAUCACGGCGUCGAACGAACAGCUUGAACAUGUCGCAGAUGCAGGGACGCCGGAAGCUUAUGCAUUACGACAUGGUUUACUUUUGGCGCAACAGCUGGGGAUAAGCAAGCUUGUGGUGGAGUCGGACUGCCUCGAGGUGAUCAAUACUAUGAAUAAUGGAGGCUUUACGGUUUCAGGUGCAGCGGCGAUUUACUCGGAUUGUUUGGUUCUCAUCAUAGGAUACGCUUCGGUCAUUUUUGUCCAUUGCCCGAGAGAAGCAAAUUCUGUAUCUCAUGAGUUAGCUAGGUUGGCGAGGCCUUCCCCAUUGCUUUGGCUGGAGGAACCGCCGGCUUUCAUUGUAAAAAGCUUGGUGGACGAUGUAACAGUUUUAUGA
Molecule: ribosomal RNA, 1107 nt
Filed under: Triticum aestivum (bread wheat)
Lineage: Eukaryota; Viridiplantae; Streptophyta; Magnoliopsida; Poales; Poaceae
Description: partial small subunit ribosomal RNA
Source: RNAcentral